Non-coding RNA from Schizosaccharomyces pombe (fission yeast), 205 nucleotides. Lineage: Eukaryota; Fungi; Ascomycota; Schizosaccharomycetes; Schizosaccharomycetales; Schizosaccharomycetaceae. The record is from the annotation of a GenBank genome assembly.
UUCACGUUCUACGUUGGAAACCUUUAGAUGCUCGACCGCAGUCAAGGCACCCACCAUAACGUGAGGAGGGAGUGAAGUAGUAAAGAUGAACCCGGGGGCAAGUGAACGAAUCAUGUCGACUAACGUGCUAGAAGCUGCAAUGUAACCACCAACACAACCAUAGGAUUUAGCCAAGGUACCCGUUAUAAUGUCGACUCGACUUAAC